Molecule: long non-coding RNA, 1575 nt
Filed under: Homo sapiens (human)
Lineage: Eukaryota; Metazoa; Chordata; Mammalia; Primates; Hominidae
Description: PREDICTED lncRNA (TCONS_00256325)
Source: RNAcentral
AGGUUACGUCAGCGGCGGACGGCAAGGCGGGGAGAGGGGCAGCCCGCUCGCGGCCCUCCCGCCUGGCUCUCGCCUCGGCCUGCGGCCGGGAUCCUCCGCCCGGGUCGCGCAGCGGAGGCCGAGGGCUGGGACGGGCGGCUGGGAAGUGGGAAAGGGAGCUCCUUUUGUCUUCUCUUCCCAUCCCCCAGGUUUGGGAAAGUUUUCCUUUUGGGAAAGCCCCUCUCUUCAGCCUGCUGGCGGGUGUCGGAUUGGUUAGCGACCACCGGCCCCCGCCUCCCCCAACAGGAUUCUCCUUUGGGCCACAGGUCUUCCGGAAGUUGCCAAACCCCGGUAGCGGCAGCGUCCGGCUGGGGGCUUUAUUAGGGGGCACCGGGGUCUGCUUUCCGACUCCCUUCCGACUCCGCGCCUGCGCAGGAAGCGAUUUGGGGAGUGUUGUGAAUUCCGAGGGCUCCACACUUAAGAGGUUGUACACUCACCUGUCUACCUGGACUCCAAUUUCCAUAUUUCCAGCCACUUGAGGACUGAGAGGUGGAUGAUAAACCCUGUCAUAGUGGAGCAAGUUCAGGUGUUUAACCGCUGUUAUGGGGGAUCUGCCUUUUCUCCCUCUUCUUUCUUACUUCCAUAAGUAUGUAUGUGCAGAGAUUGAAAAAUAACCUUGAGAGAGUCCAUCCAUCUAACUCCAGUUCAUUGGAAAUUUCUGCUUCUUUGAGACUGAGGUUAUAUUCCACUUCUUCUGACUACACCACCACCAUCAAUCUCCUUCUCUGAACUCUUGGAUCAUUACUUCAACCUGAAACAACUCAUCAGGCAGAAUAGUUGCCUACUGCCCCAACCCCACCAAAUGUUCCAGCACCUCUGAUAUUACCUCACAUGGCAAGAGGGCUUUGAAGAUGUGAUUGAGUCAAGGAUCUUGAAUGGGGAGAUUAUCCUGAAUUAUUCAGCUGGACCCAGUGUAAUCACAAAGGUUUUUCAAAGAUGGAAGAGAGGCAGAAGAGCCAGAAAAGGAUAUGUGACAAUGGAGUCAGUGUCAGAGUUGGAGUGACGUGAUGUGAGAAGGAUUCAACCUGCUGUUUCUGGCUUUGAGGAUGAAAGAAGGGGCCAUGAGCCAAGCAAUACAGGUGGCUUCUUUCAAGAAGUUGGAAAAGUGGUAAUAUUUUAUGUUAUUUUGGUUUGAUUUUUGUUUGUGGCAUAUGGCUCUGCUGUCCUGUGACUCUAAGUAGAAGAGAAAAUAGUGCCAAUAAUUCUUCAUGGAGAUGCACCUCUCUCAAGUCUUGAACAAUGUUUGAGGUAGGUGGUGGCCUAAAUGAAUGAGCAUGUCAUGUGUGAUUACUUAGUGAGUGUAGUUUUGUAAGGCGCACCAAGGAACUGGUAAUUAACUGCUAGGCAUGAGAUUACCCCAAGAUUCUACAAACCCACCUAAGCGUUGUUAUAUUUGUGAAAAGAUUAGAGGAGCUGAACUGUGUAUCUUCUUGGUCUCCAGUGGGCAGAUACAAGGGGAUUGCAGCAAAGAUUGGGGAAGUGGCCUCCAAGUAUGCAUGUGGAUGUCCUCUGCUCCUCUGAAACAUGACGGAUGGC